GUGCAUUCUUAGACACUUGGCAGUUUUGCUCUAAAUGCUUCGAAGAUAUGAAUGAAUGCUAUAGAAAUUGCAGGGAGUCCAAAAGUCUGCAUUUCUCUAAGGUUCAGUCUUAUUUCAUACCUGCAACAUCU
This is a non-coding RNA of Erinaceus europaeus (western European hedgehog), 131 nucleotides long. Lineage: Eukaryota; Metazoa; Chordata; Mammalia; Eulipotyphla; Erinaceidae. The record is from Rfam.